UACGUAGGGGGCAAGCGUUGUCCGGAAUCAUUGGGCGUAAAGCGCGUGUAGGCGGCUUGGUAAGUCCGCUCUGAAAGCCCGGGGCUCAACCCCGGGAGGCGGGUGGAUACUGUCAAGCUCGAGUCCGGAAGAGGCGAGUGGAAUUCCUGGUGUAGCGGUGAAAUGCGCAGAUAUCAGGAGGAACACCAAUGGCGAAGGCAGCUCGCUGGGACGGGACUGACGCUGAGACGCGAAAGCGUGGGGAGCAAACAGG
RNAcentral lists this ribosomal RNA (253 nucleotides) under uncultured bacterium. RNAcentral describes it as "partial 16S ribosomal RNA". It matches the Rfam family "Bacterial small subunit ribosomal RNA", at positions 524 to 776 of the family's 1533-position model. The record is from RNAcentral.